RNAcentral lists this ribosomal RNA (253 nucleotides) under uncultured bacterium. RNAcentral's name for it is "partial 16S ribosomal RNA". It matches the Rfam family "Bacterial small subunit ribosomal RNA", at positions 524 to 776 of the family's 1533-position model. The record is from RNAcentral.
UACGAAGGGGGCUAGCGUUGCUCGGAAUGACUGGGCGUAAAGGGCUCGUAGGCGGUUUGUCGCGUCGGGAGUGAAAACUCAGGGCUUAACCCUGAGCCUGCUUCCGAUACGGGCAGACUAGAGGUAUGCAGGGGAGAACGGAAUUCCUGGUGUAGCGGUGAAAUGCGCAGAUAUCAGGAGGAACACCGGUGGCGAAGGCGGUUCUCUGGGCAUUACCUGACGCUGAGGAGCGAAAGUGUGGGGAGCGAACAGG